GGAACUGUGGCUUAGUGGUAGAGUGUUUGCCUAGCAUGCAUGAAGCCCUGGGUUCAAUGCCCCAGUACCA
Molecule: non-coding RNA, 70 nt
Organism: Dipodomys ordii (Ord's kangaroo rat)
Lineage: Eukaryota; Metazoa; Chordata; Mammalia; Rodentia; Heteromyidae
Source: Rfam